ACAUGACUCAUAGAGAGGCUCAGUGUGGAAAAGUUGGAUUAGUGAGAGCAGAUGUGGGAAGGGAGUGAGUGGUUCACAGGUCUGCCCAGGGGGUGCACAUGCACUACUAGCCUGGCAGAUCAGCACGUGGUCUGGAUGGUGGCAAAGGCAUACAGGGACCAGCGCUUCUUCAGGUGUCUGUCCUCACAACACUUCUAAAUCUCGGAGCUCUUCCCCCAGACUGUGAGCCCUGCUGAGGUCUCAGCACCGGGUAAUGAAUGGGUCUGUCUUGCCAAACAGGAUUUGAAUUCUUACAGAGGUUUCCCAGGGAUGGCCACUGUCCAGGGAAAGGUGUCUUUGGGGGAGUCACAGUGAGGCUGGCUGCUCUACAUGGUUAAGGGAGAGCUAGGCACUGCUGAAGGUAACUCUUUUAGUACAGUGCAUCUGGGAGGGCAGGGAGCGAGCAAACCAUUCCUUCCUCAAGGCUUUUCUCUGGAUAUUUUUCCCCUGCUCUGAGACAGGGUUUCUCUGUGUAGACCAGGAUGGCCUGGAAUUCAGAGAUCCUCCUGCCACGGCCUCUGCAGUACUGGGAAUAAAGGAGUUAAAGCCGCUAGUCAUCAUUCCGAAUCCAUGAACCCAGCACUCUGCCCUCUCUGCCCACCUUAAAGGACUAAUCUCAAAUGGAGACAGAUGGCACAAGAGGGAUGUGUACACUAGAGAGAUCUCAGAAGGCCUGCCUACCUUCCCAAGGUAUCUCUCCGGGCCUAUCACAGUCCUGAAAUGCCUGCUGGGAGCACCACUCACUUUUCCCCCAAAGGUCUUCAUCACCAAGUCAGUUCUGAAUAUGAAGAAAUAAAGACUCUGGAUUCAA
Rattus norvegicus (Norway rat) is the source of this 850-nucleotide non-coding RNA. NCBI's taxonomy places the organism in Eukaryota, Metazoa, Chordata, Mammalia, Rodentia, Muridae. The record is from RefSeq and is a predicted model, not a curated record.